Mauremys mutica (yellowpond turtle) is the source of this 363-nucleotide long non-coding RNA. RefSeq lists it as uncharacterized. The transcript is spliced from 3 exons. The record is from RefSeq and is a predicted model, not a curated record. NCBI's taxonomy places the organism in Eukaryota, Metazoa, Chordata, Testudines, Geoemydidae.
GUAACCUGUCUGUAAGAAAGGGAAUAAAAGAAAAGGUCCGGGACUUUCCUAGGACGCCUCUCUGCAGCACCGUCUCUGUUUCCCGUUACUACAUCUGGUGACCCCGACGUGAUCCAGACACAAGACCCCCGACUCAUCGGCUGGCUUAGCCUUGGUGCACCACAGCGCAACGCGCUCCCUCAUUGCUGCGGUCUUACAACACAUUCGAACCCACAAGCCGACCCUUUUUAUCUAGAGCCCAGCGCCAUUAUCGACAGACCGAGCCCCUUCCAGCGCCGAAGGUGAUAUAUCGCAAGCUGCCAGGACCAGAGUGGAGCCUGCCCGUGCCGCUCAUUACCUGGGGCCGGGGCUACGCAGCGGUGU